This 704-nucleotide ribosomal RNA is filed under the name uncultured Alteromonas sp. Its description in RNAcentral is "bacterial SSU rRNA". It matches the Rfam family "Bacterial small subunit ribosomal RNA", at positions 1 to 701 of the family's 1533-position model. Lineage: Bacteria; Pseudomonadati; Pseudomonadota; Gammaproteobacteria; Alteromonadales; Alteromonadaceae. The record is from RNAcentral.
UUCGCCCUUAGAGUUUGAUCCUGGCUCAGAUUGAACGCUGGCGGCAGGCCUAACACAUGCAAGUCGAACGGUAACAUUUCUAGCUUGCUAGAAGAUGACGAGUGGCGGACGGGUGAGUAAUGCUUGGGAACUUGCCUUUGCGAGGGGGAUAACAGUUGGAAACGACUGCUAAUACCGCAUAAUGUCUUCGGACCAAACGGGGCUUUGGCUCCGGCGCAAAGAGAGGCCCAAGUGAGAUUAGCUAGUUGGUAAGGUAAAGGCUUACCAAGGCAACGAUCUCUAGCUGUUCUGAGAGGAAGAUCAGCCACACUGGGACUGAGACACGGCCCAGACUCCUACGGGAGGCAGCAGUGGGGAAUAUUGCACAAUGGGGGAAACCCUGAUGCAGCCAUGCCGCGUGUGUGAAGAAGGCCUUCGGGUUGUAAAGCACUUUCAGUUGUGAGGAAAAGUUAGUAGUUAAUACCUGCUAGCCGUGACGUUAACAACAGAAGAAGCACCGGCUAACUCCGUGCCAGCAGCCGCGGUAAUACGGAGGGUGCGAGCGUUAAUCGGAAUUACUGGGCGUAAGCGCACGCAGGCGGUUUGUUAAGCUAGAUGUGAAAGCCCCGGGCUCAACCUGGGAUGGUCAUUUAGAACUGGCAGACUAGAGUCUUGGAGAGGGGAGUGGAAUUCCAGGUGUAGCGGUGAAAUGCGUAGAUAUCUGG